This 26-nucleotide non-coding RNA is filed under the name Homo sapiens (human). The record is from RNAcentral. Lineage: Eukaryota; Metazoa; Chordata; Mammalia; Primates; Hominidae.
UGGAGUGUCUACUGAGUGCCAAGGUC